UACGAAGGGGGCGAGCGUUGUUCGGAUUUACUGGGCGUAAAGGGCGCGCAGGCGGCCGCUCAAGUCAGGCGUGAAAGCCCCGGGCUUAACCUGGGAACUGCGUCUGGGACUGAGUGGCUAGAGUUCGGGAGAGGAGAGUGGAAUUCCCAGUGUAGAGGUGAAAUUCGUAGAUAUUGGGAAGAACACCGGUGGCGAAGGCGGCUCUCUGGACCGAGACUGACGCUGAGGUGCGAAAGCGUGGGGAGCGAUCCGG
RNAcentral lists this ribosomal RNA (253 nucleotides) under uncultured bacterium. Its description in RNAcentral is "partial 16S ribosomal RNA". It matches the Rfam family "Bacterial small subunit ribosomal RNA", at positions 524 to 776 of the family's 1533-position model. The record is from RNAcentral.